UACGUAGGGUGCGAGCGUAAAUCGGAAUUACUGGGCGUAAAGCGUGCGCAGGCGGUGAUGUAAGACAGGUGUGAAAUCCCCGGGCUUAACCUGGGAACUGCAUUUGUGACUGCAUCGCUGGAGUGCGGCAGAGGGGGAUGGAAUUCCGCGUGUAGCAGUGAAAUGCGUAGAUAUGCGGAGGAACACCGAUGGCGAAGGCAAUCCCCUGGGCCUGCACUGACGCUCAUGCACGAAAGCGUGGGGAGCAAACAGG
This 253-nucleotide ribosomal RNA is filed under the name uncultured bacterium. RNAcentral describes it as "partial 16S ribosomal RNA". It matches the Rfam family "Bacterial small subunit ribosomal RNA", at positions 524 to 776 of the family's 1533-position model. The record is from RNAcentral.